GUUCGGGGUUCGACAUCUGCGGUCGUAUAAUGCUGUGCCCUGCGGAGCAACUAGUUCUGUGUUAUUUUGAAAACAAUAAGAGCUAAGAUUUUAUUGUAAACUGCAAAAAUGAUCUGCAUAACAAGAUCUAUCUAAUCCGAAAAAUUUACCACCUGUUUUUGGAGAUAUUGGGAGUCAGAAUUAUUGAUAAAUACAUUUUUCCAAAUAUAGUCCAUCAGCUAGUUUUCAAAAGCGAUCUAGUUAAGGAGUUUGUGUUACACCCCAGGGUACCGCGA
RNAcentral lists this long non-coding RNA (275 nucleotides) under Mytilus galloprovincialis (Mediterranean mussel). The record is from RNAcentral. Lineage: Eukaryota; Metazoa; Mollusca; Bivalvia; Mytilida; Mytilidae.